Rhincodon typus (whale shark) is the source of this 3199-nucleotide RNA transcript. It is a transcript of the gene named ArfGAP with FG repeats 1a, with no coding region annotated. NCBI's taxonomy places the organism in Eukaryota, Metazoa, Chordata, Chondrichthyes, Orectolobiformes, Rhincodontidae. The transcript has 5 exons. The record is from RefSeq and is a predicted model, not a curated record.
AGGCUGGAAGCGAACCUGGGCCCCUGGCGCUGUGAGGCAGCCAUGCUAACCACUGAGUCACCGUGCUGCCCCCUAUCUUUGAAAGAUACAGAUGACUGAACCACAUGUAUGAGUCUUUUAGAUAUGCACCUCUUUGAGCCUUUUAAAGGCAGAUCAGGAAGCUCUUGAUAAAUAUUGUUAAUUACAAACCAUUAGAUUGCUUUAUUUUACAACAAUUGAGCAGUAGCAUGAAACAGACUCAUGUGGUUCUAUUAGUAUAACUUUGUUCAUGUACUAACAUAGAACAAACAUUGUUAAUUGUGUGUCAUUUGUCUUUCACUAUGUUUGGGUGGUGAGCGUUAAUUGUGAAUUCACCUGUACCCAUUCACAUAGGAAUAGGUUGAAAGAGGUGCUGUUGCUUGGAGGUGAAUAUUAAGUUCCCUGGGUCUCUGUAAAUAAUAGAUUGUAAGUGUACAUAGACUAGCUUCCAGUCCAUUCUUCAUCGCUUGCCUAUUUAAUUGCAACACACUACUAUGUUUCUCCUUUCUGCCAUCUGCUUUCCCUGUUUUAACCUUCUGAUUUAGUGAAUAGAUGGUCUUACAUUUUUUUAGAAAAUAAUUUGUUGUAUGUAUUUUUAAAUCUCUUCACAGUCAGAGGAGAGGGCCUGAUCAGACCUCCCCGUUAAGCACAGCCAAAGACAACAGUUAUGUUCAUCAACCAGUGAAACAGGUUAAUUAGUUGCUGGCAGUUUAUAGUUUUUGAGAAACGGAUUCAAUGCCUAGACUAUUAGCAUUUGUUUUUAUAUUCAUUAUUGCUAUUUUCUAACUUGUGUGAAUGCACUUUGCCUCAAAGACCCAAUGUUUAAAUAUAAUUAUUUUUGCUACAGGAAGGAUUUGGGCAAAUAGUCAUAAAUCCCAAAACAGAGCACAUCAUCUCUGAAUACCUGCUCCUGCCCUGAUCAGUAAGCCCUCACUUGUGUACUCAUUGCUUGUGCUACAGUGCAAGUUAUAAUAUUUAAGGAGGGCCAACAUUAAAAACUGCUGUGGAAUUCAGUGACCAAUGAGCAAAGCAUCAUCAACACAUUCGAGUGAACUUGAGUAUAAUCCAUUUUUACUCUCUCUCAUCAGUGACCUUGCCCCCAUCAUUAGGUCAGGAGUGGGGAUGUUUGUUGAUGAUUGUACAAUGUUCAGUACCAUUCAUGACUGCACAGAUAGUAAAACAGUCUAUAUGCAGCAAGAUGUGUACAGAAUGGGCUGUACGUGGCAAGUGACAUGUGCCACACAAGUACCAGGUAAUGGCCAUCUCCAACAUGAGAAAUUGUAACUAUCAUUCAAUGGCAUUACCAUCAGUGAAUUCUCCAUUAUCAACAUCCUGGCUGUUACUAUUGACUUGAAACAACUGGACAAGCUAUGUGAAUACUGAAGCUAUAACAGCAGGUCAGAAUUUCCGAUUCUCAUUUCCUGACUCCCAAGGUCUCUGCCGUCUACCAGGCACAUGUCAGAGCUGUGAUGAAGUACUCCCCAUUUAGCAAUAAGAAUGCAGCUUCAACAAUGUUUGAGAAGCUACACAGGACAUAACUUAAAUUAACCCUGUUUGCACCCUCCACCAACCAUACACAAUAUCAGAAGUUUAUAGCUUCUCAAGGUACACUGCAACAACUUAGUAAGACUCCUUCAGCAACACCUCCAUCUAGAAGGACAAGGGGGCAAUUGCAUGGGACCAUCACCAUCUAUAAAUUCCCCUCCAAGCUAUACAGUAUCCCAACUCGGAACUAUCUCACCAUUCUUUCAUUUCCAUUGGAUCAAGAUCCUGGAACUCCCUUUCUAACAGCACUUUGGGUGCACCAUAUGGAUUGUGGUGGCUCAAGGAGACUGCUUGUUCCUACCUUCUUUAGCCCCAUAGAGAUGGACAGUCAAUGCUGCCAGCAACACAUUAUGAAAGAAUCUUAGAAAAAUUUCUUCCCCACUUAAUCUGGCUGUAGGAUUUGCUAGUCCCAAUAUUCAAUGGUUCCUCCCAUUUUCCAGCAAAGGAAAGCUUUUAGAAGUGAGAUAACUUUAGCCCAAAUGGGACAGGCUGUUUUAGAACUGCCGAAUGUCAGAAAAGGGAUUAGAAAAGUGGAAGUUUCACAUCUCUGUGACAUUGAGAUAUACAGUAAUGUAAAAUGGGAAGUUCUUCACAAUAUAGUUUAAUACUGAUGGAGACCAGGAAGUAGGUGUUGAGCCAAUUUGUGGGAAGGUUUCAUAAUGGAAAUUGAGGAAGAAAAAGCCACUUAAUUGAGGUGGAGAUGCUGUAGUUACCAUCUGGCAAUUAAUACAAUUCAAGAGGGGUUUUAUUUAACUGUAUGCAUAUUGAUUGAUUUUUCAUUGAGAGUUCAGUAUCAUCUGAACUUUCUAAACUGUUUACUUCACUCAUGGUGUUCUGUUUAUUUAUUAUGCACGACUUUCAUGAUCAUUAACGUGUGUUUUUGGUUUUCUUCCUCCAUCCCUUUUCUUCCAUGUUACUGUUACAGCUCCAACUUCUAUGAAUAUAGAUUUUGCAAACUUUGCAUUUGGAAGUUGUCAUACUUCUGAUAAUUUUGGGGCUUUCUCCUCAGCAAGUCUGCCACCUUUCCAGUCCAACUGUGCAGGUGGAUCCUCUGCAUCAACAAAUGCUAAUUUUGCAAAUUUUGAUAACUUCCCAAAAUCUUCUAGUGCUGACUUUGGAGUUUUCUGUUCCUCUGGGAAUGACACAACUGUAAACAAAGCACAUGCUGUUACUCAGGAUAAAUAUGCAGCCCUUGCUGAUCUGGAUAAUGUUUUCAGCAAUAGUACCUCUACACAAGGUGGAAGUAGUCAACUGACUAAUUUCAGCUCAACAACUGUUGGAUCUUCUGUGAUGACUGCCAAUCAGUCAAGCUCCUCAGCAAACAAGUAUGCAGCACUAGCAGAAUUAGAUAAUGUCUUUAGCUCUCCGUCAACCACUAGUAAUGUAUCUAGCACAAGCAGUGUUACAGGCAGGGGGUUUCUCUCCUUCCUAAAGAUCAUAAGGGACUGAGUCAUCACAGCUCUUCACAAAACCGAAUGUACAGCCUCUGGUCGAAAUGAACUGGAGAUGACACAGGAAGGGGGCAGUCUUUAUAGACACAUGUGUUUGGGACAGUACAAAGUGCUACAGCAGUACAGACUCAUCCUGGAGCCAGCACUACACCUGCAGCAUUUGGAGGUAAGCCAUUUGUUUUGCA